GACGAACGCUGGCGGCGUGCCUAAUACAUGCAAGUAGAACGCUGAAGGAGGAGCUUGCUUCUCUGGAUGAGUUGCGAACGGGUGAGUAACGCGUAGGUAACCUGCCUGGUAGCGGGGGAUAACUAUUGGAAACGAUAGCUAAUACCGCAUAAUAGCAGUUGUUGCAUGACAACUGUUUGAAAGGUGCAAUUGCACCACUACCAGAUGGACCUGCGUUGUAUUAGCUAGUUGGUGGGGUAACGGCUCACCAAGGCGACGAUACAUAGCCGACCUGAGAGGGUGAUCGGCCACACUAGGACUGAGACACGGCCCAGACUCCUACGGGAGGCAGCAGUAGGGAAUCUUCGGCAAUGGACGGAAGUCUGACCGAGCAACGCCGCGUGAGUGAAGAAGGUUUUCGGAUCGUAAAGCUCUGUUGUAAGAGAAGAACGAGUGUGAGAGUGGAAAGUUCACACUGUGACGGUAUCUUACCAGAAAGGGACGGCUAACUACGUG
This 495-nucleotide ribosomal RNA is filed under the name uncultured bacterium. Its description in RNAcentral is "partial 16S ribosomal RNA". It matches the Rfam family "Bacterial small subunit ribosomal RNA", at positions 28 to 507 of the family's 1533-position model. The record is from RNAcentral.